Molecule: ribosomal RNA, 492 nt
Filed under: uncultured bacterium
Lineage: Bacteria
Description: partial 16S ribosomal RNA
Rfam family: Bacterial small subunit ribosomal RNA
Source: RNAcentral
AGUGAACGUUGGCGGUAGGCCUAACACAUGCAAGUCGAACGGAAGCACAGUAAGAGCUUGCUCUUACGGGUGGCGAGUGGCGGACGGGUGAGGAAUACAUCGGAAUCUACUUUUUCGUGGGGGAUAACGUAGGGAAACUUACGCUAAUACCGCAUACGACCUACGGGUGAAAGCAGGGGAUCUUCGGACCUUGCGCGAUUGAAUGAGCCGAUGUCGGAUUAGCUAGUUGGCGGGGUAAAGGCCCACCAAGGCGACGAUCCGUAGCUGGUCUGAGAGGAUGAUCAGCCACACUGGAACUGAGACACGGUCCAGACUCCUACGGGAGGCAGCAGUGGGGAAUAUUGGACAAUGGGCGCAAGCCUGAUCCAGCCAUACCGCGUGGGUGAAGAAGGCCUUCGGGUUGUAAAGCCCUUUUGUUGGGAAAGAAAAGCAGCAGGUUAAUACCCCGCUGUUCUGACGGUACCCAAAGAAUAAGCACCGGCUAACUUCGUG